This 409-nucleotide ribosomal RNA is filed under the name uncultured Pelotomaculum sp. RNAcentral describes it as "bacterial SSU rRNA". It matches the Rfam family "Bacterial small subunit ribosomal RNA", at positions 977 to 1382 of the family's 1533-position model. The record is from RNAcentral. Lineage: Bacteria; Bacillati; Bacillota; Clostridia; Eubacteriales; Desulfotomaculaceae.
GGUCUUGACAUCCCUCGACAACCGAGAGAUCGGGCGUUCACCCUCGGGUGACAGGGAGACAGGUGGUGCAUGGUUGUCGUCAGCUCGUGUCGUGAGAUGUUGGGGUUAAGUCCCGCAACGAGCGCAACCCCUACGUUUAGUUGCUAACGCGUGAAGGCGAGCACUCUAGACGAACUGCCGUUGACAAAACGGAGGAAGGUGGGGAUGACGUCAAAUCAUCAUGCCCCUUAUGUUCUGGGCUACACACGUGCUACAAUGGCCGGUACAGACGGACGCAAAGCCGCGAGGUGGAGCAAAAUCCUAAAAAGCCGGUCUCAGUUCGGAUUGCAGGCUGCAAUUCGCCUGCAUGAAAUCGGAAUCGCUAGUAAUCGCAGGUCAGCAUACUGCGGUGAAUACGUUCCCGGGCCUU